UACGUAGGGGGCAAGCGUUAUCCGGAUUUACUGGGUGUAAAGGGAGUGUAGGUGGCAUAACAAGUCAGAAGUGAAAGCCCGGGGCUCAACCCCGGGACUGCUUUUGAAACUGUGCAGCUGGAGUGCAGGAGAGGUAGGCGGAAUUCCCGGUGUAGCGGUGAAAUGCGUAGAGAUCGGGAGGAACACCAGUGGCGAAGGCGGAUUGCUGGACAGUAACUGACGCUGAGGCGCGAAAGCGUGGGGAGCAA
RNAcentral lists this ribosomal RNA (248 nucleotides) under uncultured Lachnospiraceae bacterium. RNAcentral describes it as "partial 16S ribosomal RNA". It matches the Rfam family "Bacterial small subunit ribosomal RNA", at positions 524 to 771 of the family's 1533-position model. Lineage: Bacteria; Bacillati; Bacillota; Clostridia; Lachnospirales; Lachnospiraceae. The record is from RNAcentral.